This 253-nucleotide ribosomal RNA is filed under the name uncultured microorganism. RNAcentral describes it as "partial 16S ribosomal RNA". It matches the Rfam family "Bacterial small subunit ribosomal RNA", at positions 524 to 776 of the family's 1533-position model. The record is from RNAcentral.
UACGGAGGGUGCGAGCGUUGUCCGGAAUUACUGGGCGUAAAGAGCUCGUAGGCGGUUUGUCACGUCGUCUGUGAAAUCCCUCGGCUUAACCGGGGGCGUGCAGGCGAUACGGGCAGACUUGAGUACUACAGGGGAGACUGGAAUUCCUGGUGUAGCGGUGAAAUGCGCAGAUAUCAGGAGGAACACCGAUGGCGAAGGCGGGUCUCUGGGUAGUAACUGACGCUGAGGAGCGAAAGCAUGGGUAGCGAACAGG